UACGUAGGGUGCAAGCGUUAAUCGGAAUUACUGGGCGUAAAGCGUGCGCAGGCGGUGAUGUAAGACAGGUGUGAAAUCCCCGGCUCAACUGGGGAGGGUCACGCGAUACUGCUCGACUCGAAGGCAGGAGAGGGAAGUGGAAUUCCCGGUGUAGUGGUGAAAUGCGUAGAUAUCGGGAGGAACACCAGUGGCGAAGGCGACUUCCUGGCCUGUUCUUGACGCUGAGGCGCGAAAGCUAGGGUAGCAAACGGG
Molecule: ribosomal RNA, 252 nt
Filed under: uncultured bacterium
Lineage: Bacteria
Description: partial 16S ribosomal RNA
Rfam family: Bacterial small subunit ribosomal RNA
Source: RNAcentral